ACAAGCGGUGGAGCAUGUGGUUAAUUCGAAGCAACGCGAAGAACCUACCAGGCCUUGACAUGCAGAGAACUUUCCAGAGAUGGAUUGGUGCCUUCGGGAACUCUGACACAGGUGCUGCAUGGCUGUCGUCAGCUCGCGUCGUGAGAUGUUGGGUUAAGUCCCGUAACGAGCGCAACCCUUGUCCUUAGUUACCAGCACGUUAUGGUGGGCACUCUAAGGAGACUGCCGGUGACAAACCGGAGGAAGGUGGGGAUGACGUCAAGUCAUCAUGGCCCUUACGGCCUGGGCUACACACGUGCUACAAUGGUCGGUACAAAGGGUUGCCAAGCCGCGAGGUGGAGCUAAUCCCAUAAAACCGAUCGUAGUCCGGAUCGCAGUCUGCAACUCGACUGCGUGAAGUCGGAAUCGCUAGUAAUCGUGAAUCAGAAUGUCACGGUGAAUACGUUCCCGGGCCUU
RNAcentral lists this ribosomal RNA (456 nucleotides) under uncultured Pseudomonas sp. RNAcentral describes it as "bacterial SSU rRNA". It matches the Rfam family "Bacterial small subunit ribosomal RNA", at positions 925 to 1382 of the family's 1533-position model. Lineage: Bacteria; Pseudomonadati; Pseudomonadota; Gammaproteobacteria; Pseudomonadales; Pseudomonadaceae. The record is from RNAcentral.